This is a long non-coding RNA of Mastomys coucha (southern multimammate mouse), 1129 nucleotides long. RefSeq lists it as uncharacterized. The transcript has 2 exons. Lineage: Eukaryota; Metazoa; Chordata; Mammalia; Rodentia; Muridae. The record is from RefSeq and is a predicted model, not a curated record.
CACAGGUUAUUCUUGAGUUGAUUGUCCUGUUGUCAACCGCAAGGGAAUUACUGAGAACUGGACCAGAGAGAUCCAGAGAGAAGAAGAAACAUCAGCAGAACAAUUAAAUCCAUUCUCACUAUCCUGCAUAAGAAAGAAGCGGAGAGGAAGAAGAUGCAUUUUGCUGUUAUUGAUUUUUAUUUUAUGUGUAUGGAUGUUCUGCCUGAAUGUAAGACUAUGAGCUACAUGCAUUCAGUGACUGCAGAGUUAUAGAUGGUUGUGAACCAAUAUGGAUGCUGGGAAUUGAACCUGGCUCCAAAGAAAGAACAGCCAGUGGUCCUAACCACUGAGCCAUUUCUCUAGCCCCCAAAAGAAAAAAAAAAGACUUUGGAAAAAAGCCAGCAUCUCUAGGAAUAAGAUUGCCAGGGCUGAAUUAAAAGGUACCAUGGCUUGACUACACAUAAGGAUCAGAUUGCCCAACCGAUAGUGGCCAAAGUUAGAGAUGUAGCUCUUGCAGGCACUCAAAGUUCCCACAAGGCCACCUGGUAGAUCACUACGCACUGCUUCGGGUGUUAAGUAUCCUCAAGGGACCCUACGUACACAAGGAGCCACAGACAGGUAGCCUCGCUUGGCCUUUCGUUGGACCAACCCUUCUUUGGCAAUGAAGCGUCUCUUAAAAAGGAGGUCUGGGUAAGGAAGGAGCAUCCUCACACCUUCAGGGCUGAGUGGCAAGGAAAACCAAGAGGCCAACGGCAGCAAUGGCUUCCAAGCCAAGGUGAAGAGGAGCAGGAAGUGGAAGCCUUCAAUCGAAAGUGUUGUUUCCCACGGCCGAUGAUCUGCUGUCCUCCUUAUAAAGAAUCUGCAUCAAUCUCUACCAGUUCACAAGUGUACCCUCCGCCCAACCCACAAAUUAAUUGUUGCCAACUCUAAACCUUUGAGAAGAGCAAAGUAAUCUAAACACACCUCCCUCCCUCCUAUGCACACACCACAGGGCAACUUUCCGGAAUCUCCAGAAAACGGAUGCGGCUCAGCAACAGUUAAAGAUGGAUUUCUUGUGCCUCUUGCACAUUUACAUAAUUGAUUCGCUGGAUAAUGCACUCUGCUUCCUUAUUUAAUAAACAUGUUAAUGAUUUCAGACAAUUACUCAAAA